RNAcentral lists this microRNA precursor (99 nucleotides) under Eutrema salsugineum. RNAcentral describes it as "mir-156 microRNA precursor family". It matches the Rfam family "mir-156 microRNA precursor family". From Rfam's summary of the family: This family represents the plant microRNA (miRNA) precursor mir-156. The record is from Rfam by way of RNAcentral. Lineage: Eukaryota; Viridiplantae; Streptophyta; Magnoliopsida; Brassicales; Brassicaceae.
CUGACAGAAGAGAGUGAGCACACAAAGGCAAUUUGCAUAUGUUUGUAUCCGAUCUCACUGCAUUUGCUUCUCUUGCGUGCUCACUGCUCUUUCUGUCAG